Molecule: ribosomal RNA, 287 nt
Filed under: uncultured bacterium
Lineage: Bacteria
Description: partial 16S ribosomal RNA
Rfam family: Bacterial small subunit ribosomal RNA
Source: RNAcentral
UUGAUCCUACGGGACGCAGCAGUGGGGAAUAUUGCACAAUGGGGGGAACCCUGAUGCAGCGACGCCGCGUGGGCGAUGGAGUAUUUCGGUAUGUAAAGCCCUAUCGGCAGGGAAGAAAAUGACAGUACCUGACUAAGAAGCCCCGGCUAACUACGUGCCAGCAGCCGCGGGAAUACGUAGGGGGCAAGCGUUAUCCGGAUUCACUGGGCGUAAAGGGAGCGCAGGCGGCACGGCAAGCCUGGUGUGAAAACCCGGGGCCCAACCCCGGGAGUGCAUUGGGAACUGCC